This is an RNA transcript of Hippopotamus amphibius kiboko, 1679 nucleotides long. RefSeq lists it as uncharacterized. The transcript has a single exon. The record is from RefSeq and is a predicted model, not a curated record. Lineage: Eukaryota; Metazoa; Chordata; Mammalia; Artiodactyla; Hippopotamidae.
UUUUAUCAAGGGGGGGAGGGAGGGAGACGAGAAAGCCUCUUUAAAACGAGCCUGUGACGAUGAUGCACAUUACCAGAGGCGGCCCGUCAUCAGGGGGAGCGGCGCCCGUCGCUGGGACGCGGUCCCGGCGCCCCGAGCCGUGAGCCGCGCGGCAGCAGCGCUCUGCGACCCGCUCUCUGUUCCCGCGGGGCCGCCUAUGCACAUUACCCUUCUUUCAUUACUUUCUCAUGUCAUUUUUUUUUAAUCCCCAAAAAAAUAUUUUUUAAAAGUUAAAAAAAAUAGACAUAUCAAACAUGCAAAUACUUGAAUCCAGCAGGCCAAUAAUGAAAUGUGAACACUUUCUAAGUCUAAUUCUACACUUCCGGGUUGACAUCAGUACGCAGAAACAGGCUCUAGGAAAAAUUUCUACGUUCACAGCCUCUGUGUGUGUGUGUGUGUAUGUGUGGAAACAAGCGUGUGUGUGUGCGUGUGCGUGCGCACUUUCUGUGUUUGUGUGGUAAGUGUGUGAGGGAUUUAACUGUGGGUUCUCCCUUGUGUUCAGUAUGUGCUUUUUUUUUUUUUUUGGCGCAUUGGUCAAACGUUUGUUAUUAUUGUUAGCUUCUAACUUUGCACUGAGUGUCCCUGCCCUUCCUUUAGCUAAUCCUAUACAUUACAGAGAAUUCAUAGGACAGGGCUGGUGACAAUUCACGUGUAAAUGUUUACUCAAGGACUCUGUUAUUGUGUUUAAAAAUUACAGUGUAUAUCUCUGGAGAAAUAAUAUGUAUACCUACCUUUAGCAGCUUUUUAUUGUGGACUAAUGCAAGAAAAUUAUUACCAGAGUAUUGCACCAUUUUUCCAUUUGGAAUAUAAAAUUGAAGAGAAAAAACUCUCGUUGAACUGUGGCCAUAGAUACUUGUAGAGGAUGGAUGGUUCCGCGGGAGGAACGGAAACAAGCACUUGGACGUGGGUUGUGACUGCUUUCAGAGGAGCCUGUGGUUAGGGCUCCCACCUGUUUACAGACCUUUUUUUCUCCUUCAGACUUUAAAAUAAAAAAAAAUUUUAAAAAGGAAUUUAAAAAAAAGAAAAGAAAAAAAAAAAAAAAAAGACUUCCGUCGUAAAGAAAGCUAUUUUCAGAAUGCAGAUGUGCUACUUCAGAGCUCUGGGAUCGAACAGUGUUGUGUCCCCUCCGGCCGUCGUCGUCGUGGACUCUGUCGACUGUCCCCUUCGUCCAGGUGGCGAGUGUGGUCACUGUCUUGCACACGCGGAUGCACUCUCAGGAAAGCCAGGGUUCCCGAGGGGCAGCUCCACACCAUUUCAUGUAUUUUGUAACCCAACUCCUAGCACUGAAGAUGUUAUUAAAAAACAAACAAAAAAUAAAGAAAAAAAAAGAAAAAAGAGGAAAAAAAACACAAAGAAGAAAGAUACCUAAUCUCUAACGUGUAGCAGUUACGUAUGUACCAAAUAAUGGACUCAAAGGAAAUAGAUGUUCGAAGAGUGCUUUAUAUAUUAAAAAUUGCUUUAUGUUUUAAAAAUGAUCAAUGUUUUGAUUGUUUUGCAAGAAAGAAAGACAAUGGAGUAACAUACCCUCAAGUAUGUUUAAAAAAAUAUAUGAACAUGUGCUCCCUGCCUGCUUGAUCAGGAAACUUGUGCAUUACAUUUUUUUUAAUUAGCUUUUUAAUGGUUUUAUCAAAACAAAAGAA